RNAcentral lists this ribosomal RNA (828 nucleotides) under Triticum aestivum (bread wheat). Its description in RNAcentral is "partial small subunit ribosomal RNA". The record is from RNAcentral. Lineage: Eukaryota; Viridiplantae; Streptophyta; Magnoliopsida; Poales; Poaceae.
AUGAAGAUUUUUACGACGGGGAGCUGCGCGUUCCCGCUUCGCGCCAACAACAACAUCCUCGCCCCGGCGCAAAAUAACGGCGUAAACGCUUCGUUUCCCGCUUUCCCGCCCGACGUUAGCCGCCGCGUCGUGAGCUCUGGCGGAUUCACCUUCCCGGUGAUCAGCCCGUCGAAGGCCAUCAGCAGCAGCGUCGUCGACGAGCCGCCGCGCGAGUCGCUGGAGGUGUUCCGUCCCAUCGACGAGGACUCGGUGGUGCUCGUGGACCCUCCGCCGCCCCUCGACGCGAGCUUUCUGCGCGCGCCGGCGGUCGUGGCGGCGAUGGACGACGACGCGAUGAGCGACGCGAGCUCGGACCUGUUCGACCUGGAGAGCUUUGCGGCGUCAUCGUCGUACCCGACCACGUACCGUGGUCGCAGUAGCCGGCGCAACUCGGGGGACGACGACUUGGCGUACGCCGCCGCCGCCGCGGAGCCAGCGCUGAGCGAGUGCAUGUACGCGCCAAGCGAGGCGAGCGUGGUGUGGAGCGUGGCCACGGCCGAGGGCGUCGCCUACGACGCCGGCAGCGUGGCCAACUUCUCGAGCGCGGCAUCCGCGUGCGGCGUCGAAGAGUUCCGGUUCGUCCCGCCGGGGUCCGCCGCCGGCCACGACGGCUUCACCGCCGCCAUGUCCCGAAGCGCCGGCCGGAAGAAAGGCGGCGGGUUCUUGGACAGCUGCCGGUGCGAGAAGGCCGUCAGCGUCGGGCCGACCCCGGUCCGUGUGGCCCGCCCGCCGGCGGUCCCGUCUAACAAGACGGCGAUGGGGCUGGAAAGCGGCGGCGUCGCGCUGUAG